GUGAUGUUGGGGGCGUUGUGGUUAAGGUUCUCCGCUGGAGACUGGGAGGUCAUGGGUUCAAAUCUCAAGACGUCUCG
Non-coding RNA from Ameiurus melas (black bullhead), 77 nucleotides. NCBI's taxonomy places the organism in Eukaryota, Metazoa, Chordata, Actinopteri, Siluriformes, Ictaluridae. The record is from the annotation of a GenBank genome assembly.